AUGCAUUUAGGUGCAGCGUUGCGUGUUUCUUGCCGGAGGUAGAGCACUGGAUGGUCUAGGGGGCCCACAAGCUUACCGAAAUCAGCCAAACUCCGAAUGCCGGUAAGUGAGAGCGCAGCAGUGAGACUGCGGGGGAUAAGCUCCGUAGUCGAGAGGGAAACAGCCCAGACCAUCAGCUAAGGCCCCUAAGCGGUGACUAAGUGGAAAAGGAUGUGGAGUCGCAGUGACAACCAGGAGGUUGGCUUGGAAGCAGCCACCCUUGAAAGAGUGCGUAAUAGCUCACUGGUCAAGUGAUUCCGCGCCGACAAUGUAGCGGGGCUCAAGUCAUCCGCCGAAGCUAUGGCAUUCACGCGUGUAUCUAGCUGCCACCUCGUGUGGUUGGUUCAGGUGUGUGGAUGGGUAGGGGAGCGUCGUGUCGCGUGUGAAGUUCCGGAGUGAUCCAGGGGUGGAUGCGACACGAGUGAGAAUGCAGGCAUGAGUAGCGAAUCACGGGUGAGAAACCCGUGCGCCGAAUGAUCAAGGGUUCCAGGGUCAAGCUAAUCUGCCCUGGGUAAGUCGGGACCUAAGGCGAGGCCGACAGGCGUAGUCGAUGGACAACGGGUUGAUAUUCCCGUACCGGCAACGUAGCGCCCAUGACGAACCUGGUGAUGCUAACCAUCCGAAGCGCAGGUUGACCGAUCCCUUCGGGGUGAGGCUCUUGUGUGGAGCGUGGGACCCGAGCUGGUAGUAGUCAAGCGAUGGGGUGACGCAGGAAGGUAGCCCAACCACGCCGAUGGUUGUUGCGUGGGUAAGCAGGUAGGGGGCGGUCCAGGUAAAUCCGGAUCGCUGUGCUUCGAGCACGGCCCUGAGAUGUGAUGCCGAGCCCGUAUGGGCGAAGUGGGUGAUCCUAUGCUGUCGAGAAAAACCUCUAGCGAGCUAUGCGCCGCCCGUACCCCAAACCGACUCAGGUGAUCAGGUAGAGAAUACCAAGGCGAUCGAGCGAACCAUGGUUAAGGAACUCGGCAAAAUGCCCCCGUAACUUCGGGAGAAGGGGGGCCGGAUCCGUGACCACCCUUGCGGUGGAAAGCGGUGAUGGCCGCAGAGACCAGGCCCAAGCGACUGUUUACUAAAAACACAGGUCCGUGCGAAGUUGUAAGACGAUGUAUACGGACUGACUCCUGCCCGGUGCUGGAAGGUUAAGGGGAACUGUUAGCGCAAGCGAAGCGGUGAACUUAAGCCCCAGUAAACGGCGGUGGUAACUAUAACCAUCCUAAGGUAGCGAAAUUCCUUGUCGGGUAAGUUCCGACCUGCACGAAUGGAGUAACGACUUGGGCGCUGUCUCAACCAUGGACUCGGCGAAAUUGCACUACGAGUAAAGAUGCUCGUUACGCGCGGCAGGACGGAAAGACCCCGGGACCUUUACUAUAGUUUGGUAUUGGUGUUUGGUUCGGCUUGUGUAGGAUAGGUGGGAGACUGUGAAGCGGCCACGCCAGUGGUUGUGGAGUCAUCGUUGAAAUACCACUCUGGUCGUACUAGAUGUCUAACCUAGGACCGUUAUCCGGUUCAGGGACAGUGCCUGAUGGGUAGUUUAACUGGGGCGGUUGCCUCCUAAAAUGUAACGGAGGCGCUCAAAGGUUCCCUCAGCCUGGUUGGCAAUCAGGUGGCGAGUGUAAGUGCACAAGGGAGCUUGACUGUGAGACUGACACGUCGAGCAGGGACGAAAGUCGGGACUAGUGAUCCGGCACCUCUGAGUGGAAGGGGUGUCGCUCAACGGAUAAAAGGUACCCCGGGGAUAACAGGCUGAUCUUCCCCAAGAGUCCAUAUCGACGGGAUGGUUUGGCACCUCGAUGUCGGCUCGUCGCAUCCUGGGGCUGGAGUAGGUCCCAAGGGUUGGGCUGUUCGCCCAUUAAAGCGGCACGCGAGCUGGGUUUAGAACGUCGUGAGACAGUUCGGUCCCUAUCCGCCGCGCGCGUAGGAAACUUGAGAAAGGCUGUCCCUAGUACGAGAGGACCGGGAUGGACGAACCUCUGGUGUGCCAGUUGUCCCGCCAGGGGCACGGCUGGUUAGCUACGUUCGGAAGUGAUAACCGCUGAAUGCAUCUAAGCGGGAAGCACGUUUCAAGAUGAGGUUUCCCACCCCCUCGAGGGGGUAAGGCCCCCAGCAGAACACUGGGUUGAUAGGCCGGAGGUGUACAGCAGCAAUGCCCAGCCGACCGGUACUAAUAGGCCGAGGGCUUGU
Molecule: ribosomal RNA, 2217 nt
Filed under: activated sludge metagenome
Description: bacterial LSU rRNA
Rfam family: Bacterial large subunit ribosomal RNA
Source: RNAcentral